CGGUACAGAGAGAAGCUUGCUUCUUUGCUGACGAGCGGCGGACGGGUGAGUAAUACUUGGGAACUUGCCUCUAGGCGGGGGACAACCACUGGAAACGGUGGCUAAUACCGCAUAAUGUCUACGGACCAAAGUGGGGGACCUUCGGGCCUCACACCUAGAGAUGGGCCCAAGUGGGAUUAGCUAGUUGGUGAGGUAAAGGCUCACCAAGGCGACGAUCCCUAGCUGUUCUGAGAGGAUGAUCAGCCACACUGGGACUGAGACACGGCCCAGACUCCUACGGGAGGCAGCAGUGGGGAAUAUUGCACAAUGGGCGCAAGCCUGAUGCAGCCAUGCCGCGUGUGUGAAGAAGGCCUUCGGGUUGUAAAGCACUUUCAGUGGUGAGGAAGGUCAGUAAGUUAAUAGCUUGCUGAAUUGACGUUAGCCACAGAAGAAGCACCGGCUAACUCCGUGCCAGCAGCCGCGGUAAUACGGAGGGUGCAAGCGUUAAUCGGAAUUACUGGGCGUAAAGCGUACGUAGGCGGUGUGUUAAGCAAGAUGUGAAAGCCCCGGGCUCAACCUGGGAAUUGCAUUUUGAACUGGCACGCUAGAGUCCUGAAGAGGGUGGUAGAAUUUCCAGUGUAGCGGUGAAAUGCGUAGAUAUUGGAAGGAAUACCAGUGGCGAAGGCGGCCACCUGGUCAGAGACUGACGCUGAGGUACGAAAGCGUGGGGAGCAAACAGGAUUAGAUACCCCUGGUAGUCCACGCCGUACACGAUGUCAACUAGUUGUUCGUGUCACUAAGACGUGAGUAACGCAGCUAACGCACUAAGUUGACCGCCUGGGGAGUACGGCCGCAAGGUUAAAACUCAAAUGAAUUGACGGGGGCCCGCACAAGCGGUGGAGCAUGUGGUUUAAUUAGAUGCAACGCGAAGAACCUUACCAUCCCUUGACAUCCAGUGAACUUUCUAGAGAUAGAUUGGUGCCUUCGGGAACACUGAGACAGGUGCUGCAUGGCAGUCGUCAGCUCGUGUUGUGAGAUGUUGGGUUAAGUCCCGCAACGAGCGCAACCCUUAUCCUUAGUUGCCAGCACGUAAUGGUGGGAACUCUGGGGAGACUGCCGGUGAUAAACCGGAGGAAGGUGGGGAGGACGUCAAGUCAUCAUGGCCCUUACGGGAUGGGCUACACACGUGCUACAAUGGCGCGUACAAAGGGCAGCGAACUUGCGAAGGUAAGCGAAUCUCAUAAAGCGCGUCGUAGUCCGGAUUGGAGUAUGCAACUCGACUCCAUGAAGUGGGAAUCGCUGGUAAUCGUGGAUCAGAAUGCCACGGUGAAUACGUUCCCGGGCCUUGUACACACCGCCCGUCACACCAUGGGAGUGGGUUGCACCAGAA
This 1369-nucleotide ribosomal RNA is filed under the name Idiomarina fontislapidosi. RNAcentral describes it as "bacterial SSU rRNA". It matches the Rfam family "Bacterial small subunit ribosomal RNA", at positions 67 to 1425 of the family's 1533-position model. The record is from RNAcentral. Lineage: Bacteria; Pseudomonadati; Pseudomonadota; Gammaproteobacteria; Alteromonadales; Idiomarinaceae.